Molecule: ribosomal RNA, 548 nt
Filed under: uncultured archaeon
Lineage: Archaea
Description: bacterial SSU rRNA
Rfam family: Bacterial small subunit ribosomal RNA
Source: RNAcentral
AGCCGCGGUAAUACAUAGGUCCCAAGCGUUAUCCGGAUUUACUGGGCGUAAAGAGUCUGUAGCCUGAUGUGUAAGUCUGUUUUCAAAUACUCCGACUCAAUCGGAGAAAGGGGAUAGAUACUGCAUAUCUGGAAGUUAUUGGGGGUUAGUGGAAUUUCCGGUGGAGCGGUGAAAUGCGUUGAUAUCGGAAAGAACGCCGAAAGUGAAAACAGCUAACUACAAUAAACUUGACGGUCAAAGACGAAAGCUUGGGGAGCGAACGGGAUUAGAUACCCCGGUAGUCCAAGCUGUAAAUUAUGCAUGCUAGAUGUUUUGUCCCGAUUUUCGGGGUGGAGUGUCGUAAUCUAACGAGUUAAGCAUGCCGCCUGGGUAGUAUAUUCGCAAGAAUGAAACUCAAAGGGAUAGGCGGGGGAACACACAAGCAGUGGAUUAUCUAGAUUAAUUGGAUAAUAAGCCAAAAAUCUCACCUAAACUUGACAUGUACUAUGUCCUAUGUGAAAGCAUAGUAGUCCAAGCAAUUGGGCGUGGUACACAGAUGGUGCAUGGCC